UGCUGACAGUGGCUAGCUUGGUAAG
RNAcentral lists this unclassified non-coding RNA (25 nucleotides) under Mus musculus (house mouse). Its description in RNAcentral is "oocyte_clustered_small_RNA11514". The record is from RNAcentral. Lineage: Eukaryota; Metazoa; Chordata; Mammalia; Rodentia; Muridae.